CUUUGCCCUCCACCUCAUCAAUUUGGGGGCAUUUUGUGUCUAAAAUUUACUUUUUGCAACCAAUAUGUACUAUUAGUUUGAAAUCAAUUAUACUUACUAUCAUUUGUGUACAAUUUUUAAAAACAUGUUGUCUUAUUAGUUCAUGUAGAACAAUAUGUUAACCGAAGAAGUACAUUUUUUGAAACUCCAAAUACUGUUUGCGUGUACAGUACCUCACUGCCCCCAAGACCUCACUUUUCUGUUGUAGAAACUCAGCAAAUACAAACACACAACCUCCAUUCUCUCUCAUCAGAACCACAUAUCUCUCUUCUCAUUUCUCAUUCUUCAACUCAACCCUUAGCUUUGUUCUUCUUCUUCUACUACUUUUGAUUCUCAAACACCUUAAGCAUUUUUGGUUUCUAUCAUAAUUCCAAAAUCCUCCCUAUUUUAUGAAGUGCAACUCUGUGUUUCAUUCUUGAUUUUUUUAUAGAUUGGACUCUACGUGUUUGAUUUUAACAAUCAUACUUUUGUUUUUUAGGUUAUUCAAGUGUCAUUUGUUGCUUUCUAGAUGGGUUCUUCGUCAACAGAAGAUAUGAAGGUUUCUAGGAAUCUUGAUGGAGAUAAAUUUAUGGGUUUCAAUCUUUCGUUGAAAAAUGUGAAAAAAGGUUCAAUCAUUUGGUCCUGUUUUGAACUCAAAUUUAUAAGUGAAUAAGCACUAGAGUUCGUAGACUUUGGUCCUGAUAUGCAGAUUUCUAAUGUACACUGCUAGAUUUGUUUUUCUAUAGAAACUUUUCUAAUUUGUGUUGAAUGGUUACUCCUUAACUUUUUCAGGUUCAAUAUUGUUGGUUAUGUAUUCUUAUGAUGAUAAAUAUUAUAGACUAUUAGCAUCCUCCCGUUUUCACUGCAAGGUCAAACUCCUAUGGGAUGUAGGUUUCUGAUAACUCAAUUUGGUGGAGACAUGAACUAAGGGCUUUGGAUUCAUGAUGGUUUGAUUUUGUUACUAGCUUAUGGUUCAAUACUUUCUGUAUCCUCACCUCAGUGGCAGGAUAAGGCUUCUGGUUUCUUUUCUUCCUCAGAAAAGUUGGGCAAGUGAAAGUUAUCAACCCGUUAUUAAUGAGGCUUCAGUAUCCUGGUCAUCUUUCACUGCAAACAACAUAAGUAUUACCACCAGCAGUUACGGUAGUGGCAGUGGAAGCUGUUUUGCGAUCAAUAAUAGAGUGGAUGCAUACGUUUUUUUUAAUUAAAGCAUUAUUAGAAUUGAAGAAGACCUUAGAAAUGCUCAUGACAAGUUAAAACUAAACUUAGCUAAUGUUAUUCUGCUUUUUCAUCUUAUAUUCAUCUUUCUGUAGUGAACAUUGACACUAGCUUCAUCUUACUGCUAUUCUGAAGAAAGUGUAGUUGCAUUGAACAGUGUUGUAGCUGUAUAAAUUUAUGACUUGAGGAGUGUUUUGUAAGCAAUUUGUGAGUUGUAUAAAAGUUAGGUGAAAGAGUUACUUUGAUGUCUUUUAUGAGCAAUUUGUGCCAAGAGUUAUUUUA
Long non-coding RNA from Vicia villosa (hairy vetch), 1515 nucleotides. RefSeq lists it as uncharacterized. The transcript has 3 exons. The record is from RefSeq and is a predicted model, not a curated record. Lineage: Eukaryota; Viridiplantae; Streptophyta; Magnoliopsida; Fabales; Fabaceae.